AACCUUUGCUGUCUUGGGACGGAUCACCACUGCAAGAGGGGAAGUUGCUACUGUGAUGAAUUCUGCCAUGUGGCACCAGACUGCCACCCAGACCACAGUGUCCUCUGCAACCCUGGUCAAAGGUGCCUACAUGCUCCUUCUAGCUUUGUUUCCCUGAUGUUCCUUGCCACCUGCUACUCCUCUCUGAGCUACUUUUCCAGCUUCUCAGAUGACCAAGAUGGUGCUGCAGAUGGUGCUGAGGAUGGAGAACCCACCAAGCCCCGCUAGGAGCCACCUAGACUGGAUGCAGAGCAUGGCCCAUCAGAAACUCAAAAGAAUGCGACCUUUGUCUCUCACCCACCUGUGACCUGGAAGCUUUCUCCUGGCUGCGAGUUGUCCCACGUUUGCUUGGCGUUGCCCGGCCUUUUCCAGACUGAACCAAUGUUCAUCUUACAUGUGUUGAUUGAUGUCUCAUGUCUCCCUAAAACGUAUGACCACCUUGGCACAUGUCGUCAGGACAUCCUGAGGCUGUGUCACGGGUGUG
Molecule: small RNA, 523 nt
Filed under: Homo sapiens (human)
Lineage: Eukaryota; Metazoa; Chordata; Mammalia; Primates; Hominidae
Description: MUC20 overlapping transcript (ENSG00000280993.2)
Source: RNAcentral